Molecule: ribosomal RNA, 254 nt
Filed under: uncultured bacterium
Lineage: Bacteria
Description: partial 16S ribosomal RNA
Rfam family: Bacterial small subunit ribosomal RNA
Source: RNAcentral
UACGGAGGGGGCUAGCGUUGUUCGGAAUUACUGGGCGUAAAGCGCACGUAGGCGGCUUUGUAAGUUAGAGGUGAAAGCCCGGAGCUCAACUCCGGAACUGCCUUUAAGACUGCAUCGCUUGAAUCAUGGAGAGGUCAGUGGAAUUCCGAGUGUAGAGGUGAAAUUCGUAGAUAUUCGGAAGAACACCAGUGGCGAAGGCGACUGACUGGACAUGUAUUGACGCUGAGGUGCGAAAGCGUGGGGAGCAAACAGGG